UCAACUUGAGAGUUUGAUCCUGGCUCAGAACGAACGCUGGCGGCAGGCCUAACACAUGCAAGUCGAGCGCACCCUUCGGGGCGAGCGGCGGACGGGUUAGUAACGCGUGGGAACGUACCCUUUUCUACGGAAUAGCCUUUGGAAACGAAGAGUAAUACCGUAUACGCCCUUUGGGGGAAAGAUUUAUCGGAGAAGGAUCGG
Molecule: ribosomal RNA, 201 nt
Filed under: Tateyamaria sp.
Lineage: Bacteria; Pseudomonadati; Pseudomonadota; Alphaproteobacteria; Rhodobacterales; Roseobacteraceae
Description: partial 16S ribosomal RNA
Rfam family: Bacterial small subunit ribosomal RNA
Source: RNAcentral